UCCGGUUUGUCACCGGCAGUCUCCCUAGAGUGCCCUUGCGUAGCAACUAGGGACAAGGGUUGCGCUCGUUGCGGGACUUAACCCAACAUCUCACGACACGAGCUGACGACAGCCAUGCAGCACCUGUGUCCAGGCUCCCUUUCGGGCACCCCCACCUCUCGGCAGGGUUCCUGGCAUGUCAAGGGUAGGUAAGGUUUUUCGCGUUGCAUCGAAUUAAACCACAUCAUCCACCGCUUGUGCGGGUCCCCGUCAAUUCCUUUGAGUUUUAAUCUUGCGACCGUACUCCCCAGGCGGACGACUUCACGCGUUAGCUUCGUUACUGAAGGACAACUCCUCCAACAACCAGUCGUCAUAGUUUAGGGCGUGGACUAC
Molecule: unclassified non-coding RNA, 372 nt
Filed under: uncultured Gammaproteobacteria bacterium
Lineage: Bacteria; Pseudomonadati; Pseudomonadota; Gammaproteobacteria
Description: contains 16S-23S intergenic spacer region
Source: RNAcentral